Diachasmimorpha longicaudata is the source of this 1394-nucleotide long non-coding RNA. RefSeq lists it as uncharacterized. Lineage: Eukaryota; Metazoa; Arthropoda; Insecta; Hymenoptera; Braconidae. The transcript is spliced from 3 exons. The record is from RefSeq and is a predicted model, not a curated record.
ACUGGUGGUUGCACAAAUAUACGUGGAUGUGGCACCGUUACCAACGGUGUGACUAACUUAACACGAUCACAACAUAUUCAUUUGAGCUCACGUGUGAGCCCACUGCGCGCGUCGGUCUCAUUUACAUCAUAUUCGAAUUGUUUUUCGAGUCAAUUAGAACGAUUCGAGGUGACCAAUGCGCUGAGUAGAAAUGAUUAUUUGUAGUGAGAGAAUGUCUGGUGUUUUGUCUUCAGAUGGGGGAUGUUUCACGUAACGAGUGGUUUGAGGGACGAAUGGCCGUCAUGUGGCCGGCGGGGAGGGGGAAGAGUGUGGACGAAGAAAUACCUCAGGCCAACAGUUACGGCGUACCUCUGCUUUCGGUAAAAUUUCAAUGAUACUGCGGCUGGAUGAGGGAGGGUGAUUGUGCACGGGAAUAGAUAUGUGUCGAAAUAUUCGCAUCUCGACGACACGACGGUUCGGGGGCGACUGGCGCGGCACCGUUCACACUGACGAUGAGCAUACCGUCCGCCUCCUGGUCCUUCCUGCAUUCCGGCGCAGACGCCUCCCCAAAACAAAUCACGCGGAUCUAGUCAAUCUCUUUUCCUGGCACACGUGAAUUAUCACAUGUUUGCGAUAAUUUGAUACUGGAGCAAGCCACCCAUACCAAACCAACUUAAUUAGAAGGAAGUUGUGGAGGUAACCGAGGUUAACUUGUUGCGAAGCUCGACUUCUACGAUUUAUGGGAACGGUUUGGAAUUAAGAAACUGCGAGGGAUUAGAUCCACAAUGGUCCUUCUCAAUCUUUGUCUGGACCGGGUCUCAAUUUGAUUUUCGUCUCACACGAUUUCUCCGUCAAAUAUCAAAAGUCAAGAGGUGGUGAUUCAAUUGACGAAGGGAGGGUCAUAAAACGGAGGGUGACGGCAGCCGACAUUCAGCCGAAGGACAAAUUUGUUUUAUAAAUAAAGGGAAUAUUCGAGGACUGAUCGAUAACGAACGAAUCCGAUGGUACCUUCCAAUGGACACUCAAUUCGUAGGAGAGAUAAAUACGUUACGUGCCGUAUAUGCUGUCGUCAGCCGCCAGUCAAUGGACAUAUCCUUGAUAAGAUUGCUAUUAAUGAGUAAAUCUUGAGAUUAUGGUGUGGACUUAUUUUGAUGGACAGCCAGAUCGAGAGAAUUAUCUGAAUACAAAGUUGACAUGACAUCCAGUCGUGUCUAGUACUAAUUCGUAAGUGAAGUGAGGGAGCCUUACAAAUAUUUCUGAGGGAUAUAGAGGGAUGAUCACGUGACUGUUAAUAAAUGGGAGGUGGAGUAGAGAGAGGACGUUUGCAUCUGAGGAUCAGGAAGGGCCUUAAAGAUUAGCGUGAUUGGGAAUGUUUACACGGAUUUAUCUGCGAGGAAAAUAUUCUGAAUGAGAGU